GAAUAUUGCGCAAUGGGGGAAACCCUGACGCAGCGACGCCGCGUGAGCGAAGAAGGCCUUAGGGUUGUAAAGCUCUGUUCUAAGGGACGAAAAGCCCUAUUGUAAAUAAUGAUGGGGAAUGACGGUACCUUAGGAGGAAGCCCCGGCUAACUACGUGCCAGCAGCCGCGGUAAGACGUAGGGGGCGAGCGUUGUCCGGAAUUACUGGGCGUAAAGAGCACGUAGGCGGAUGUUUAAGUCAGAUGUGAAAGACCGCAGCUCAACUGCGGGGUGGCAUUUGAAACUGGAUAUCUUGAGGGCAGGAGAGGACAGUGGAAUUCCUGGUGUAGCGGUGAAAUGCGUAGAAAUCAGGAGGAACACCAGUGGCGAAGGCGGCUGUCUGGACUGACCCUGACGCUGAGGUGCGAAAG
RNAcentral lists this ribosomal RNA (409 nucleotides) under uncultured Syntrophomonadaceae bacterium. RNAcentral describes it as "bacterial SSU rRNA". It matches the Rfam family "Bacterial small subunit ribosomal RNA", at positions 359 to 759 of the family's 1533-position model. Lineage: Bacteria; Bacillati; Bacillota; Clostridia; Eubacteriales; Syntrophomonadaceae. The record is from RNAcentral.